UACGUAGGUGGCGAGCGUUGUCCGGAUUUACUGGGCGUAAAGGGAGCGUAGGCGGACUUUUAAGUGAGAUGUGAAAUACCCGGGCUCAACUUGGGUGCUGCAUUUCAAACUGGAAGUCUAGAGUGCAGGAGAGGAGAAUGGAAUUCCUAGUGUAGCGGUGAAAUGCGUAGAUAUUAGGAGGAACAUCAGUGGCGAAGGCGGCUUACUGGACUGUAACUGACACUGAGGCUCGAAAGCGUGGGGAGCAAACAGGAUUAGAUAU
This 262-nucleotide ribosomal RNA is filed under the name uncultured prokaryote. Its description in RNAcentral is "partial 16S ribosomal RNA". It matches the Rfam family "Bacterial small subunit ribosomal RNA", at positions 524 to 785 of the family's 1533-position model. The record is from RNAcentral.